UGAGUUUUGAUUAGUAUUAUUGUGAUUGAGAUAUUGUUGAUUGAGUUACUGUGGCAGGAACAAUACAUGUUGCUGGUAAACCCACUCAUGUAUUGUUCGACUCGAGGGGCAACACAUAGCUUUGUGACCCCUGAAGUAGCUGCCCAGUUUUGGGAUUGUUUUGUGGUUGACAGGGUAAGCGUGGCAGUCUUGACCCCUGCAGACCGAACCCUUCAAGCGGAUCAGCGUAUCAAGAAUGUUCCAUUGGUUAUUCAAGAGAAAGAGUUCGUGGCAGAUUUGCUAAUCAUGCCUUUGGAAGGGUACGAAGUCAUCCUUGGAAUGGACUGGUUAUCGAGAUACGAAGUUCAGAUUGAUUGUGGAAAAGGGAGAUUGUUGUUUGGCAGAGGCAAGCGUCCAGAGAUGGUAUACUUUGGAAUCAGUCCUAGUAUGACCGUGUCACUGAUAGCAGCAUUGAGAGUUCAAGAUUUGUUUCAAGACGGGGAAGUGUAUUUGGUAACUUUAUCGGUUAGUGGAGGAGCCACUGACGAUGAAGUUAAGGUUGAAGACAUAGACGUGGUCAAGGAGUUUGAGGAUGUAUUUGCACCGCUAAAGGAAUUACCUCCACCUCGGAGUAAUCCCUUUACCAUUACCUUGGAGCCUGAAGCAAGACCUAUUGCCAAGGCACCGUAUCGGAUGGCACCAGCAGAGUUAGCUGAGCUAAAGAAACAAUUGGAAGAUCUAUUGGAGAAAGGAUUCAUCCGAUCAAGUUCCUCACCUUGGGGAGCUCCUGUUCUAUUUGUGAAGAAGAAAGACGGAAGCAUGAGGUUGUGUAUCGAUUACCGCGGUAUCAACAACAUCACCAUCAAAGACAAGUAUCCUCUUCCGAGGAUAGACGAGCUAUUGGAUCAACUUAAAGGAGCAAGUUGGUUUUCGAAGAUUGAUUUGGCAUCAGGGUAUCAUCAAAUUCCCAUUGCCGAGUCAGAUACUUUGAAGACGGCAUUUCAGACAAGGUAUGGGCAGUACGAGUUCGUGGUUAUGCCCUUUGGUCUCACCAACGCCCCUGCAGCUUUCAUGCGUUUGAUGAAUGAAGUGUUUCAUGACUACCUCGACAAGUUCGUGAUCAUCUUCAUCGACGACAUCUUGGUGUACUCGAGAAGCGAGGAGGAGCACAAAGAGCAUAUCAGACUAGUUAUGGAGAGGUUGCGAGAUCAGAAGCUAUUUGCCAAGUUCAGUAAGUGUUCGUUUUGGAAGAGAGAGAUUAGAUUUCUUGGUCAUAUAGUAUCAGGAGAGGGCGUGGCUCCUGAUCCAGAGAAGGUCCAAGCCAUACGGGAAUGGCCUAGACCUACCACAGUGACGGAAGUGAGGAGUUUUCUCGGACUCGCGGGCUAUUAUCGGAAGUUUGUUAAGGACUUUUCUUCCAUUGUAAAGCCCUUAACUAAACUGACCGGUAAAGGAGUACCUUACCUUUGGGUGGAAGCAACAGAGAAUGCAUUCAAGACGUUGAAGGAAGCUCUCACCACCGCACCGGUGUUAGCUUUGCCCGAGCAAGGAAAACCUUACACGGUUUACACGGAUGCUUCACGAGUUGGGCUGGGUUGUGUUCUUAUGCAAGAUGGGAGAGUCAUUGCAUAUGCCUCGCGGCAACUACGGAAGCAUGAAGAUAACUACAGCACACACGACUUGGGGUUAGCGGCCGUGGUGUUUGCUUUACGAAUUUGGAGAUCAUAUUUGUACGGGGAAGAAGUGGAGGUAUACACAGACCACCAAAGUCUUAAAUACCUCUUCACUCAGCCAGAUCUCAACCUGCGCCAGCGUAGAUGGAUGGAGUUUGUAGCUGACUAUGACCUAAAGAUUCGUUACCAUCCUGGUAAAGCGAAUGUUGUGGCAGAUGCCUUAAGUUGAAGGAAGAUGGAUUCAGAUUUAGAAAAAGAAGUGGAGCUGUUGAAUCAAGAGUUGAAGCAAGUGAAGUUGGCGGCUUUGGAAGGGCAGACAAGUGAACCAUUGGGAGUACAAGCAGUGAAUCAAGCCAGCUUGAUUCAGAAGAUUCGAGAGGAGCAACUUAAAGACGAGAAGCUACAAAAGAUUGCUGAAGAACUCAGAGGGCAAGAUGGACCAAAUAGUGCUGGCUACUACUUGGCGGAUGAUGGAACUUUACUUAUUAAUGGGAGGAUCACGGUCCCAAAAGGACAAGGGCUGAGAGAUGAGAUACUAAGGGUCGCACACCAUUCUUUACUUAGUAUCCAUCCUGGAAGUUCGAAGAUGUACAGAGACGUGAGAAGAUACUAUCAUUGGCCGGGCAUGAAGAGAUUGGUAGCACAAUGGGUCGCGCAGUGUGCAACAUGCCAACAAGUCAAAGUGGAGAACCAAGUUCCAGGAGGACUGUUGCAGAGUCUUCCGGUACCACAGUGGAAAUGGGACUCGAUUUCCAUGGAUUUCAUCACCGGUUUACCCACCGCUCCAGGUAGAUCGAACAACUCAAUCUGGGUGAUUGUGGAUAGGUUAACCAAGGUCACACACUUGUUAUCGAUGAGGGAUACGGAUAAAGUUGAAGUACUGGCCGAGCUGUACAUCAACGAAAUCGUGAAGUUACAUGGAGUACCUUCAGACAUCGUCUCAGAUCGUGACCCUAGGUUCACCGCAGCAUUUUGGGAAGCGUUACAGGAAGCCUUGGGGACAAAAUUGUUUAGAAGCACGGCGUUUCAUCCAGAAACAGAUGGCCAAACGGAGAGAACUAUUCGGACAAUCGAGGACAUGCUUCGGAUGUGUAUUCUCGAUUGGGCAGGAAGUUGGGAGAGGCAUUUACCGUUGGUUGAGUUCUCAUACAACAACAGUUAUCAUGCGAGCAUAGGGAUGUCACCUUAUGAAGCUUUGUAUGGAAGGCCAUGCAAGACACCUUUAUUUUGGACGGAAGUGGGAGAAAGAAGAAUGUUUGGAUCGCCGAUCGUUCAAGAGACUACGGUAAAGCUGGAGACGAUUAAGACCAACAUGAAGAAGGCUCAGGACCGUCAGAAGAAGUACGCAGACCAGUCAAGAAGAGAGGUAACAUUUGAGAUAUGAGAUUGGGUCUAUUUGAAGGUUACAGCAGAGAAAGGAAAGGACAGAUUUGGCAAGGUUGGAAAACUCGCGGUCAGGUUCAUUGGUCCGUACAAGAUCAUCGGUAGAGUUGGUGAGGUAGCUUACCGUUUGGAUCUGCCUGAAGAUAUGCAUCUACAUCCAGUGUUCCAUGUCUCCAUGCUUCGGAGACAUAUACGAGAUCCAAGUGCUGUAGAACCCGAGAGAAUCGAGGAGCUAAGGUCAGAUCUUACAUAUCCAUAAGGACCGAUCCGAUUGGGAGAAAGGCGUAUUAGAAGACUGAAGAAUCGUGAGAUUGCUCAAGUACAAGUUUUCUGGGGGAGACGAAACAGAAUUCAUGUUACUUGGGAGGAUGAAGAGAGAUUUAAGGUCGACCACCCUGAGUUUUUCCGAGAGGAUGUUGUGAUGGAAGAACGAGGCCCCUCAGAGGCUUAGAAUUCGAGGACGAAUUCUGUUAAGGGGGGAAGAAUGUAGAAACCCGUUAAAAAAAAAAAAAAACAAAAACAAAAACAAAAACAAAAAAAAAAUUUAUUAUUUAGUGGUCGUACCGCGGGCAAUGGAUGGUCGAAGAAUUGAUCAUGGGUGAACCAUAAGCUGCUGGACCAUGGUUAGAAAAGUGUUAGAUUGAUCAGAAGGAUGUUUUGGAAGCAUAACAUUUUUGGAAGCACGACGGUUUAGAAGCUCGACGUUUCAGAAACCCGUCAUUUCUUAGCCACUAAGUUUUCCGCAAAACUUAAUGGCUAUCACCAGAAUAUCAUUUGGAAGAUAUUAUAAGUUGGAAGCAGGACGGGAGUUAAGCAGGACGGGAAGUAAGCACGACGGGAUCGAAGCACGACGGGAAAACCCGAAGUUUGGCGAAAACCCUAAUUUUGGUAUUAUCGAUUUUUCGAAGAAGCCGGAGGCUCGAGAAAUAUUUUCCAUCAAGGUCAGGAUUCACUUGGAGUUUAUUAAAAAUAUUCAUCUCAUCAGAACGGGCGUAGAAAAAUAUUCGGGAUUGAUCGCGGGACGAAAAUUCACCGGAAGGGUCGAAAUCAGUCGACUGGACCGAGAAGCUCAAGCUGGCCUUAUCUAUGAGAUAAGGACGUGAUGUAACCUGCCUGGCAUGGUAUGUGGCAAGGGAAUCAGGAGGUGUUGAAGCCCAGGAGAGCACAGCAUGCUGAUUGACACCCAGAAGCACGAGGUGCCGCGAAACCUGCGAUCGGAGCAUGCUGAGCGACAUGUGUGCGCUGAGUGUCAAUCUGGAUGAGGUCAGGCCGUGGAUCAGACAUCUGGAGGGCAUGGUUUCACUCUGCAUGAUGUCCUGGUCAUGCCAUCAGACAUGUGGAGCACGAGGUGCCGCGACGUAUGCGUCCGGAGCCAUGCGAGGCGACACACGGGCUGCCACACGGCUUGUUUCUGAUUGGUUGCUGCAUCCUAUAUAAACCCCACGACCCCAGCUCAUUUCAAACCAUCCAGCACACCUGAAACUCAGAGAAAAACGUGAGAGAGAAAGCUAGAGAAAGAAAGUUUGAGUUUCGAUCGUUUUCGAGUCUUUUCGGCAGUUUUCGAGAACAGUUAUUCUACUCGAUUGGAGUCUACAUCUAAGAGAGGUUCUGCUCGACUCAAGAUCAGUUCAGAAGUGGGUCUACUUGUGAAGGUCAAGAAAGGGUUCGGAACGCAGAAGACGGAUUCGGGGUCAAGGCCACGGUCAACCAAAAACAGUGAGUUAUAAUCAAUUGUUUGCUAAGCUGUUUUUAUGCAGGUUCCCAUUACUUGGAAGUUGGAUCAUGGCAGGAGGCCAGGUCUAAACUAAGUAAUGGUUUGAUUAGUUGAUAGUAAUGGUUAGGUUGAUAGCAUGCUUAGUUAUUACUUGAGAACCGUAGUAGGAUGCUAAUGGUUAGGUUGAUUGGUUAGCAAUUUCUGAUUGCUUAGAUGAUAUUGCUAGGUUGCGGAUAGUUAAAUAUUCUGGAAUUAGUACUUAUGCUAGAUUCUAGAAUAUAUUUGAUUGUGUUUGGUUGUGAUGAUUGUGUGAAACCUUGGUUAUAUUACCGGGUUUUGGUAUUUGUUAUGUACUGGCCGACAGCAUUGUGUAACCCACAUUGCUAGGCAUGUGUAGGGGUGAGUUAGUGUUCCUUUAGACCUCGUACCCAGCGGGUUCAAGGAAACCCCUUAUUCGCUGGAUCGGGAAGACUCAGAGAGACGGGGUCAUUGCCUAUGGCUGAGUGAUUACACGACGGUGUAAUGUGGCAGUGACCCGAAGGACUGUGGGCUGUCGCGCGGUGACCCGAAUGACUGUGGGCCGCGGUCGGUUGAAAGUUCCUUCUUCCUGGCCUGUGUGGUGGGAAGUUAGGAUAUUGCCGAUAGUGAUGGGGGAACCUAACGUCACCGGGGCCCGAGUUAUAUAUAUAUAUAUUUUUUAUAAAGGGAUUUGGUAAACCCUAGUUUAUUGGGAUAUCGAUUUACAAAGACUAUAUUAUAGUAUCGAUAUUUUACUCGUAUUAUUUUACUACGGGUUUCAGAUUUUAUAUUAUUGCUGCUAUUCCUGAUUUAUGCUAUUAGGUGAACCUCUCGCUUUAGAUUGUUUGGGGUUGGGAUAGCGAGGGGUUGUAUUUGUUAGUUGGGGAUUGUAACUCACUGAGUAAUGCUAGAUUACUCACCCCUCACUCGUUGUCGUUUUCAGGUGACCAGUAGUUUGUAGCGGUCGCGGGAAGCUAGGCAGGCUGGUGUAGAUUUUGCAUCUUUUUGCUUGCGACGUUUUCAGACUAUAAGUAUGUAUCUUUUGCUCGAUGGCAUGCCACUACGCUUAUAAUAUUUUGUGUGUUGUGAACCGAAUAUGAUAUAAGAUAAAUAAAUUGAUGUUUUAUGUAAAUGCCUUGUUGUUUCUGAUAUUAGCUUUGUCCAAGCUAACACAACGCCAGGUCGGAGUACGGGUUGAGAAGCCUUAGGCUUCGAUAUGACGGGACGUGUUAGCGGGGGAACCGGCCAAGUCACGAAUUGCACUCUUUGUGACCAGGCUGGAACGCCCCUAACCCGUCAUGUAGCGCUCCCGGGCCUUGGUAGAAAGUCAUCCGUCGGUCAUGUUCUUGUUUGAUUGUUGGCCGGUGGUUCGACCUAUACCUAGAACGGUUCGGGGGUGUUACACCGACUGUCCCUGUUAAUCAUUACUCCGAUCCCGAAGGCCAACACAAUAGGAUCGAAAUCCUAUGAUGUUAUCCCAUGCUAAUGUAUACAGAGCGUAGGCUUGCUUUGAGCACUCUAAUUUCUUCAAAGUAACAGCGCCGGAGGCACGACCCGGGCAAAAAGAUGUUUUAGGAAACCAGCCGCUUCCCGCAUUAGGUUUAAAUAGGAAUAGGACUUACCUUUUUAUGUGUGUGCAGAUGGCUAAUCGCGGGAUAGGUGAUGAUGGACGAGAUCGGAUUUGGGGAGAGGGUAGGGUCUCAACAGGGAGAGGAUUGGGUUACAGAUCAGAGCAAGAUAAUGGAAAUGGCGUUAGUGAAAUGUUUGGACACGACAGGAGCCCUCUGCAGAGAACAAGAUCUUUUCCAGUGUACGGUAACCGGAUCAGAGUUACAAGGGAGGCCAGUUUGGCAAGCGUUAGUCCAAGUCGUAAUUGGGAGCAAAGACAUCAGCAAGAUCAAUCCGCUCAAUCAAACCCGAGGACAGAUCAGAACCGUGCCACAGAAAGACCACAAGAUCAAGGAGCAGAAAACACUUUGAAGCUGUUGCAUGAUGUGAUGACCCAGGCACUUAGUAACCGGAGCACACGUACUGAUACCCCUGAAGUUUCCAAGCUGUUAUCUACCAUGAAGAAUAUCGGAUCCUACAGAUACAAGGGAGGAUCAGAUCCUAUUGAAGCUCUCAAGUGGAUUACUAUGAUGGAGAAGAAUUUUGAAGCCAUGGAGUGCCCAAAAGAAUAUAUGAAGAAGAUCGCAGUGUACUAUCUUGAAGGAGACGCAACCGGAUGGUGGGACAGCAUAGAGAGGCAGCGUGGAGAUACCAUCACAUCAUGGGAAUCUUUCAAGGGAGAGUUCGAAAGGAAGUACUUUCCUCUUGAAGCAAAGCAUCGGUUGGAGCGUCAGUUUAUGAACCUUGUUCAAGGAGAUAGGCCAGUGAGGAGUUAUGAUUCUGAGUUCACAAGGUUGAGGCAACAUGUUUUUGAUGGACGUGAAGAUGAAGGAACGAUGAUCCGUAACUUCAUGUACGGAUUAAAGCCGGAGAUUGGAAGUCGUUUAGCUGGAAGCAACUUUAACAGCUUAUCCGAUCUGGUGGAGAAGGCUGUUAAUGUUGAGACUGCAGUAGAGACAUAAAAGAUGGUUACACAAUAUUCUGGAAGACACUCCAAGUUCAACCAAGGAGAAAGGUCGAAUUACAACAAGGGUCCAAGGUUUAACAAAGGCAAAGGGCGAGGAGGCCAAAGCAAUUAUCGUGGUAACUCUGGAGUCUGUUACACAUGUAGGCAGCCGGGACACAUAUCAAGGGUCUGUCCCAACAAUCAGCGGAACAACCAGCGGGGUAACCAGCAGGGUUAUCCACAGAUAAGGAUCGAGGAUGUGACUUGUUUCUCUUGCGGAAAGAAGGGCCAUUAUGCGUCGUCAUGUCCAAACAAGCCAAUCCCUGCGACCCCUCUCGCGAUCCGAGCUCCUCCUAGCCGUCCAGCAAUUGAGCCAGCACCAAAGAAGCAAAACCUAGGAGGUAGGGUUUAUGCCUUAGAAAUAGAGAACCCUGACAAUGCAGGACCUUCCCACGGUCCCAUUACAGGUAUAGUGGGUGUUCAACCUCCUCUUUUUAGUGUAUGGAAUUUAGUUAGGAUUCUGGUUAUAUUGCUUGAUCGUUAGGUUGCGCGUUUAGAAAUAUUAUGAUUGUGAUUGUGUGAGUUUUGAUUAGUAUUAUUGUGAUUGAGAUAUUGUUGAUUGAGUUACUGUGGCAGGAACAAUACAUGUUGCUGGUAAACCCACUCAUGUAUUGUUCGACUCGGGGGCAACACAUAGCUUUGUGACCCCUGAAGUAGCUGCCCAGUUUUGGGAUUGUUUUGUGGUUGACAGGGUAAGCGUGGCAGUCUUGACCCCUGCAGACCGAACCCUUCAAGCGGAUCAGUGUAUCAAGAAUGUUCCAUUGGUUAUUCAAGAGAAAGAGUUCGUGGCAGAUUUGCUAAUCGUGCCUUUGGAAGGGUACGAAGUCAUCCUUGGAAUGGACUGGUUAUCGAGAUACGAAAUUCAGAUUGAUUGUGGAAAAGGGAGAUUGUUGUUUGGCAGAGGCAAGCGUCCAGAAAUGGUAUACUUUGGAAUCAGUCCUAGUAUGACCGUGUCACUGAUAGCAGCAUUGAGAGUUCAAGAUUUGUUUCAAGACGGGGAAGUGUAUUUGGUAACUUUAUCGGUUAGUGGAGGAGCCACUGACGAUGAAGUUAAGGUUGAAGACAUAGACGUGGUCAAGGAGUUUGAGGAUGUAUUUGCACCGCUAAAGGAAUUACCUCCACCUCGGAGUAAUCCCUUUACCAUUACCUUGGAGCCUGAAGAAAGACCUAUUGCCAAGGCACCGUAUCGGAUGGCACCAGCAGAGUUAGCUGAGCUAAAGAAACAAUUGGAAGAUCUAUUGGAGAAAGGAUUCAUCCGAUCAAGUUCCUCACCUUGGGGAGCUCCUGUUCUAUUUGUGAAGAAGAAAGACGGAAGCAUGAGGUUGUGUAUCGAUUACCGCGGUAUCAACAACAUCACCAUCAAAGACAAGUAUCCUCUUCCGAGGAUAGACGAGCUAUUGGAUCAACUUAAAGGAGCAAGUUGGUUUUCGAAGAUUGAUUUGGCAUCAGGGUAUCA
This 8837-nucleotide long non-coding RNA is filed under the name Brassica napus (rape). RNAcentral's name for it is "long non-coding RNA (BNAP_LNC023424)". The record is from RNAcentral. Lineage: Eukaryota; Viridiplantae; Streptophyta; Magnoliopsida; Brassicales; Brassicaceae.